UCUAGGGCGUCAAGGAACACUUCUAUUGCCUAUGSUAYSGYGGAGCGGYCGGCCUGYCUUCCGCUYCCCGCGCAGSGACGAUAUYUUAAUCCWCACGACUCUYGGCAACGGAUAUYUCSGCUYUCGCAUCGWUGAAGAACGUAGCAAAAUGCGAUACCUGGUGUGAAUUGCAGAAUCCCGCSAACCAUYGAGUUUUUGAACGCAAGUUGCKCCCGAGGCCUUCUGGUCGAGGGCACGUCUGCCUGGGCGUCACGCCAAAAGACACUCCCAACCCACCCUCGGGGAGGGACGUGGUGUUUGGACCCCCGCGCCGCAGGGCGCGGUGGGCCGAAGUUGGGGCUGCCGGCGAACCGUGYCGGGCACAGCACGUGGUGGGCGACAUCAGUUGUUCUCGGUGCAGCGCCCCGGCGCGCGGCCGGCGCGUCGGCCCUAAGGACCCAUCGAGCACCGCAGCGCAUUGAUUUAAUUUACGUGUCAACUGUGCAGUGCAUUUUACUGUUGGUCGUUUUAAGGCUCCAAGCUUUCUCUUCUUUAAUUUGCUACUGACAUCUGCUACUUUGAUUGUGAUGGGAGGCCCACUUUGCCCA
Molecule: ribosomal RNA, 587 nt
Filed under: Imperata cylindrica
Lineage: Eukaryota; Viridiplantae; Streptophyta; Magnoliopsida; Poales; Poaceae
Description: eukaryotic LSU rRNA
Rfam family: 5.8S ribosomal RNA (bases 97-252)
Source: RNAcentral